This is a long non-coding RNA of Mustela lutreola (European mink), 1246 nucleotides long. RefSeq lists it as uncharacterized. NCBI's taxonomy places the organism in Eukaryota, Metazoa, Chordata, Mammalia, Carnivora, Mustelidae. The transcript has 3 exons. The record is from RefSeq and is a predicted model, not a curated record.
AGCUUCCUGACAGAAUUUCCAGUUUCUUCUCCCAUGUUCUGCAUUUUCCAGGGCUGUUCCUGAGGCUCAAGCCAGAGCAGGACACUUCUCCUUACCUUCUGGGCUAAUUCUCAUCUGUGUGUCUUGGGCCCUUGUGACGGGUGCCACCGGGUACUUGCUUUCCAAACGUGCUCUGUGUUCUGGCACGCAUGCAAGCCGUUCUUCCUGAGUGCUGGGAGGAGAUUCACGUCAUGGAAGGUGCUAGAUGUGCAUGCGGUGGACUGUCUGGACUUGGAUUAGCCAGACUGCUCGAUGGGGCUCACCGUGGAUUAGCCAGACUGCUUGAUGGGGCUCACCAGUGCCAAACAACACUGCUCCGAAGAUUCAGAGAAAUGAGUAUGUCUGGUUGAUCUCAGCUCAGGAGGAACUUUCUGUGCAGGAAAAAACGGGAAGUUUUCACGGUUUCAAGAGCAGAUUGGGUUUUAAACGAGAAGACAGUGUGUCUUUGUGAGGACUGGGAACAACGGCAUGCCAAGAAUCCUACAGGUGAGGUGAAAGCCUCGCCCCGACGGAAUCAGCCUUUUCCUCCACCACAGGCGUUCCUGUUAGAGCCACCGUCAGGCCCGGGCUUCGAGAGCUUACUCUUUUGUUUGAGUGAAGAAAAAUAAUUUCCUCAUCGAGCAGCUGGGCCCUCAGAUUUGGCACCUCUUCAGAGCGACCACACAUAAAAACAAAGAUCACAAGCAGGAAGAGAAGCAGGCAGAGAGAGGAAGAAGCAGGCUCCCUGCUGAGCAGAGAGCCCGAUGCAGGGCUCGAUCCCAGGACCCUGGGAUCAUGCCCUGAGCCGAAGGCAGAGGCUUUAACCCACUGAGCCACCCAGGCGCCCCAGGAUUAUGGUUUUGAACCCGUCAGAUAUUUGAAGAGAAGAAAACUCAAAGGAGACUCAAGUAAGUAAGAACAAGUAUGUUGGCUAAUCAUGAACCUCUCUCCGUAUUUCCACCCACACUUGGCCUGUGAGGGUCAUGAUCUCGGGAGUGGAGAUUAAUCCCAUUCAGACAGUUCUAAUUUUUCUUUUUUAUUUUAUUUUUUUAAAGAUUUUAUUUAUUUAUGUGACAGACCGAGAUUACAAGCAGGCAGAGAGAGAGGGGAGGAAGCAGGCUCCCCGCUGAGCAGAGAACCCGGUGCGGGGCUCGAUCCCAGGACUCUGAGAUCAUGACCUGAGCUGAAGGCAGCGGCUUAACCCACUGAGCCACUCAGGCGCCCCUAG